Molecule: non-coding RNA, 45 nt
Organism: Trichobilharzia regenti
Lineage: Eukaryota; Metazoa; Platyhelminthes; Trematoda; Strigeidida; Schistosomatidae
Source: Rfam
AUCUAGCUGACGAGUUCUAAACAGGACGAAAUGCGUAUCCUGGAU